This 484-nucleotide ribosomal RNA is filed under the name uncultured bacterium. RNAcentral describes it as "partial 16S ribosomal RNA". It matches the Rfam family "Bacterial small subunit ribosomal RNA", at positions 30 to 507 of the family's 1533-position model. The record is from RNAcentral.
AUUGAACGCUGGCGGAAUGCUUUACACAUGCAAGUCGAACGGCAGCACGGGGGCAACCCUGGUGGCGAGUGGCGAACGGGUGAGUAAUACAUCGGAACGUGCCCGGUCGUGGGGGAUAACGUAGCGAAAGUUACGCUAAUACCGCAUACGCUCUGAGGAUGAAAGCGGGGGACCUUCGGUCCUCGCGCGAUCGGAGCGGCCGAUGUCAGAUUAGGUAGUUGGUGGGGUAAAGGCCUACCAAGCCGACGAUCUGUAGCUGGUCUGAGAGGACGACCAGCCUCACUGGAACUGAGACACGGCCCAGGCUCCUACGGGAGGCAGCAGUGGGGAAUUUUGGACAGUGGGCGCAAGCCUGAUCCAGCCAUUCCGCGUGCAGGACGAAGGCCUUCGGGUUGUAAACUGCUUUUGUAUGGAACGAAAAGGCUCUGGCUAAUACCUGGGGCUCAUGACGGUACCGUAAGAAUAAGCACCGGCUAACUACGUG